RNAcentral lists this ribosomal RNA (393 nucleotides) under uncultured bacterium. RNAcentral describes it as "partial 16S ribosomal RNA". It matches the Rfam family "Bacterial small subunit ribosomal RNA", at positions 523 to 918 of the family's 1533-position model. The record is from RNAcentral.
CUACGGAGGAUGCAAGCGUUAUCCGGAUUUAUUGGGUUUAAAGGGUGCGUAGGCGGUUUGCUAAGCGGGAGGUGAAAUGCCGGCGCUCAACGUCGGAAGUGCCUCCCGAACUGGUGGACUGGAAUGGCUCUGCCGUGGGAGGAAUGUGUAGUGUAGCGGUGAAAUGCUUAGAGAUUACACAGAACACCGAUUGCGAAGGCAUCUCACGAAGGGUUGAUUGACGCUGAGGCACGAAAGCGUGUGGAUCAAACAGGAUUAGAUGCCCUGGUAGUCCACGCAGUAAACGAUUAUGGCUAACCGUCGGCGAUACACAGUCGGUGGCCAAGCGAAAGCGAUAAGUCAUCCACCUGGGGAGUACGUUCGCAAGAAUGAAACUCAAAUGAAUUGACGGGG